UACGGAGGAUCCAAGCGUUAUCCGGAAUUACUGGGCGUAAAGAGCGCGCAGGCGGUCGUUCAAGUCGCGUGUGAAAGCCCCCGGCUCAACUGGGGAGGGUCACGCGAUACUGAUCGACUCGAAGGCAGGAGAGGGAAGUGGAAUUCCCGGUGUAGUGGUGAAAUGCGUAGAUAUCGGGAGGAACACCAGUGGCGAAGGCGACUUCCUGGCCUGUUCUUGACGCUGAGGCGCGAAAGCUAGGGGAGCAAACGGG
This 253-nucleotide ribosomal RNA is filed under the name uncultured bacterium. RNAcentral's name for it is "partial 16S ribosomal RNA". It matches the Rfam family "Bacterial small subunit ribosomal RNA", at positions 524 to 776 of the family's 1533-position model. The record is from RNAcentral.